Molecule: small RNA, 90 nt
Filed under: Flavobacterium fryxellicola
Lineage: Bacteria; Pseudomonadati; Bacteroidota; Flavobacteriia; Flavobacteriales; Flavobacteriaceae
Description: Flavo-1 RNA
Rfam family: Flavo-1 RNA
Source: RNAcentral
GUCUCGCGUAAGGGGUGGAAGCGGCAUCCUUUUAUGGCUCUCGUUUUUUAACGAGAGCCAUAAAAGAUACAGCGGACGACCCGACCCAUU